UGCACACAAAAUGCAGGUUGAAAGGUACAAGAACAUGGGGGAGGCAGCAGAGUCUUAAGGCAAGUGUGAGGCUCUUCCAAAUCCAGGGCCUCAAGAGCCACACAGACUCACCCAUGAAGCUGGCCCUCCAUCAAUGCUAUCAAAACUCAUGCCAUCCAUUUAAAAAUGAUACCAGUUUCCAUGGUCUCCCUUAUCUUCGUUGUCUGAAAUUUGUAAGAACCUUCAAAUAACCGCUGAAAUUCAUCGUACUGUGGGGUUCACAAGUUGAGGAAUAU
Molecule: long non-coding RNA, 275 nt
Filed under: Mustela putorius furo (domestic ferret)
Lineage: Eukaryota; Metazoa; Chordata; Mammalia; Carnivora; Mustelidae
Description: lncRNA (ENSMPUG00000030323.1)
Source: RNAcentral